RNAcentral lists this ribosomal RNA (432 nucleotides) under uncultured bacterium. RNAcentral's name for it is "partial 16S ribosomal RNA". It matches the Rfam family "Bacterial small subunit ribosomal RNA", at positions 29 to 507 of the family's 1533-position model. The record is from RNAcentral.
AGCGAACGCUGGCGGCAGGCCUAACACAUGCAAGUCGAACGGACCCUUCGGGGUUAGUGGCGGACGGGUGAGUAACACGUGGGAACGUGCCUUUAGGUUCGGAAUAGCUCCUGGAAACGGGUGGUAAUGCCGAAUGUGCCCUUCGGGGGAAAGAUUUAUCGCCUUUAGAGCGGCCCGCGUCUGAUUAGCUAGUUGGUGAGGUAACGGCUCACCAAGGCGACGAUCAGUAGCUGGUCUGAGAGGAUGACCAGCCACACUGGGACUGAGACACGGCCCAGACUCCUACGGGAGGCAGCAGUGGGUAUCUUGCGCAAUGGGCGAAAGCCUGACGCAGCCAUGCCGCGUGAAUGAUGAAGGUCUUAGGAUUGUAAAAUUCUUUCACCGGGGACGAUAAUGACGGUACCCGGAGAAGAAGCCCCGGCUAACUUCGUG